UCAGUGCCCAUUGCGGAUGUUGCGAGGAAAGAACUAAAUUUGGAAAAUUCUUUUACAUUAUUCUGGAGAAAGUAUAACUUUGAUAUUUUUUUUUUUUGCAUUUAACGGAGUAGAAAAUGCCUCAACUUCAGUCCGUCAAGCGCCUUAAGCAUUUGCAACUGAUUUUCAUAUGUUGUCUAAUAUUUUACUGGAUUCACAAUGUGAGUGGCGCAAUACGCCGCGUACCCGAACGUUCGCGAAUACCAUGUGAAAAUCCUGAACCGCUACCAAAUGGUUUUUCAGCGCCGCGACGUCGCAACAUGAUGCUGUUACACUAUUGCAAUUACGGCUUCAAGUUGUUCGGUGAUCGGCGUACGACAUGCAACCGCGGCAAAUGGGUUGGCAAUCGUCCAAUAUGUGCAAGCAAUGUAUGUAGUAGUCCAACGAAGAAUCCAGAAAAUGGCCGAAUACAAUAUGUGGAUCAGUAUCAUAUCGGUGUCUACUGUUCGGAAGGCUUUGAAUUGGCUGGUAACCGAUAUGCAUAUUGCAACGGCACCGAUUGGGAUCGUCCGCUGGGUUAUUGUAGACGGCGCCCCGGCAGAGUGAGUCAUGAAUGUGAUUUUGAGCCAGACGACAUGUGCGGUUGGGUUACAGACAUAGCCGACGGUUUCCAAUGGAAACGCACCAUGGCCACUAAUGUGUUCACCUCAUUUCACACGGGACCGCGUCACGAUCACACUACAAUGCAAGCCAGCGGUGGUCACUAUAUGCUGAUGGAAAGUUUCGGUGCCACAUCAACGCCAGCCGCCCUCACCUCACCCAUAUAUGAACGUGCGAUAAGCUUGAAGACUGCAUGUUGCUUUCAAUUUUACUAUUUAAUGUAUGGCGCUGGUGUUGGCAAUUUAAGAGUCUACAUUAAACCGUUGACGAAAAUGCUAUCGGAAGUUAUUGACGACAAAGAAACCUAUUUAAAAUUCACCAAGUCUGGCAAUCAGAAUAAUAACUGGAACGAGGCGCACUUUAGUAUCGACGAACAGGAAGACGAUUUUCAAAUAGUAUUCGUCGCGGAUGGCGCUAAGAAUCACUUAAGCGACAUCGCUAUAGACGAUGUGAAAUUAAUGUUCGGUACCGAGUGUAAGGCUUUGGAUAAUCAUGAUGAUGAACCUGAUGACUCCGCCGAGUAUGAACCCACCACUACAGAACUAUCACUGUUUGACACUUUGUCGUGCGUGUCACGUUGCGGCACUGAGACGAAUAGCGGUAUAAUGCGUAAUGCUACACAUUUGAUAGGUCUUUGCAGUUGUCACGAUAGUUGUAUAGCGGACGAUGAUUGCUGUCCGGACUAUACGAAAGUGUGUCUCGAUGCGCCUCCGGAGUCGUCAACGGUAAAUAUACCGGAAACUACAACAACUACGGUUAGAAGUGAUACGAAAUCGACAACAACAACGUUAAAAGAAAUUAUAAUCGCAAAACCAACAACCACUUCAAGCACAACAACAACCACAACAACAACAACCCAAAAACCCACUACAACAACCAAAAAACCCACAACAACAAGUACAACCACUACAACCUUGCCUCCGACUACAUCAACCACACGUAAGCCGACAACAAUAGCAAAAACCACAACCACAACACGUAAGCCGACAACAACGAGCACGCGCAAGCCGAUAACCAUCUCAUCCACAACACCGAAACCAAAGCCUACAACUACUAAACGCACAACACCCUCAACAACAACAACAACAACUACUACCACUACAAUUCGUACAAUUCCAACAACAGUAACGUCGUCUACAAAACGCUCCACUACGUCAACCACAACCUUACCUGCGACUCAGCCUUACACACUCUACACACAACCUAUUUUAAGCGUGACCACUGUCGCAAAUAUUAACCGCAAAACUGCCCCAGGCGAGACCAAGGAAUUGUCAACAAGUCAUCCAACAGAGGCUCAGAGCUGUUUGACUAUUGCAUACUUUCAGGCAUCGAAUUUCAUCAGUGGCUCUAUAGAUUAUUUUUGGAUUACUAUAUGUAUACUUGGAUGCGGUUAAAUACUUGACAUAAGCUUGAUUUUCAUUUAGUGAAUGAAUUGCACACAUUACAAGCGAAAAGCAGUGGGAGAGAUCGAGUGUGAACGGGUGAAUAAGUAACAUCUGUCAAUUAACAGCACGCUGUCGUAGAACAUCAGGUGAACAUAAGUCAACUACAUGCAAACAUGCAGCAACAAAUACUGUAAACAAAAACAUACCUAAUGAUGUUGUGAGCACAAUUCGCAACAACACAGUGAAAAUAACUGCCUACAGAGACUUACUCUUAUUUUGCAUAGGGACAAAUGGAAACGAAAGGAAUGCGUACGUGACUUUAUUGGAAAGGAUGAAUGUAUGCACAUAAGUAUUUGCUCGAAAAUAUUGUGAACUGCUGCGUGGAUGGCUGCGCUAAAACUUCUUUUUGAUCACCUAACAUUAUGACGAUUUAUUUGAUAUGAGCGAUCAGUAAGCAGGUGAGCAGGAGAAAAUAAAUGUGUUAGUUCAAAUCUACCAGCGCACUAUUGUCUUAUAUGGAAUAUCUCCGAAAUGCAAGGAAGCUGUAAACUGAUUUCUCUACCUCCAAAAAUGAAAGCCCGUUUUAGGAGAUCGCACAGAAUCUUAAGCAGGAGCAUUAAAAUUAGCAUUUGCUGUAAUAGGUCCCGAACUGACUCUCGUGGAAUCGCUUUGUGAUCAUCUACUUCAAAAUGCGAAACAAGCUGACAGAAAUGCAUUUAAAUAUUGAUCUGUUAUUAUGAUAUGAAAAACAUUUUAAGUGACUC
Molecule: RNA transcript, 2788 nt
Organism: Bactrocera tryoni
Lineage: Eukaryota; Metazoa; Arthropoda; Insecta; Diptera; Tephritidae
Gene name: zonadhesin-like
Exons: 11
Source: RefSeq, a predicted model, not a curated record